Molecule: transfer RNA, 85 nt
Filed under: Pseudomonadota bacterium
Lineage: Bacteria; Pseudomonadati; Pseudomonadota
Also listed under: 1 other name
Description: tRNA-Leu
Rfam family: tRNA
About the family: Transfer RNA (tRNA) molecules are approximately 80 nucleotides in length. Their secondary structure includes four short double-helical elements and three loops (D, anti-codon, and T loops).
Source: RNAcentral
GCGGAUGUGGCGGAACUGGUAGACGCGCUGGAUUUAGGUUCCAGUGGGGCAACCCGUGGAGGUUCGAGUCCUCUCAUCCGCACCA